UAUUUGCUUUCUCUGUGUAAAAACUAUCCAUAAAUUUAAAAGGGCGAAGGCAGAUGAACAAGCUGAUGAUUUAUCUGAAUUAGGCAAACUACCUAGCUUAUAUAAUUUGGAUGGUACUCAUAAUAACAUGAUUGAUGAUAUUGUUAUUGUGGACUAUUGGCAUUUGAACUUGCUUGAAAUCAUGAACAAAUCAUCUACUGUUAACUAUGCAGUUAAAAAGUAAAACCAAAUUCAUAUUCUUUAUGAAUUUUGCGGCUUUUAAGUCCCAAUCUUCAGGGUAAAAGCAAACCAGCCGGAAGCCUGUUUUCAAGACCAAAAUUUAAGGUGGACUUAAGGUGGACAGUCAAGUUGAUUUUUUCGGUUAAAUUUUUGGAGAUAUUGUUAUUUUCCUUACAUUUAUCGUGAUCUUUGAAAUGAUUAAUUUGAUUAGAAGAUCUUAAAGAAGAGGCCAAAAUAAUAAAAGAUUCCAACACAAUUCAUGUUUUCUCAUUCGGGGAUUGGUCAUUUUAAACUCAAAGAAGGACAAAAAAUCAUUCAUUGGAUGGUCCAAGUACUUGUAUUUUUGGUGAUAUUGAAGCUGCAAUUGAUCUUGAAAUGUUGAACACCGGAGAUGAAAUGAAAUUUUAAGCUCAACACGGAUCGACUUUUCCAAAAGGAAACCAAGUUCAAAUCAACUGUUCUUGAUUGUUGUCCUACAAUCGGUGUUUUCAUUGAUGAAUCAUGUUGGCAGAACCAAUGGCCCUCCAAGUCACCUCACAAGAUUUAUACCUUAAAGACAAUUGCGAUCGGUGCAAGCAAAUUAGCUAAUUUGAUGGGCUAAACGGUUAAGAGGCUAACUAAACUGAAAAUUAUUCAAACGUAUAAAUAGCUUUAAGGGUGAAAUUUACUUUCGCAUUCAUAAUCUAUAUUAAUACAAUUCACUUAUCCCAGGUCAUUUAACUAUUAUUAUCAAUUAACUCAUCUCUUUAAUAAGCGUUACUGUUGUUAUUAAGAAUGAGAAACAGUAACCGAGCAAAUUAAAAUCAAACAAUUAAUUGAUUAUCACCCUUCUGUUUUAUCUUUCAUCUUGUUAUGAUUUGCUCUUGAUCAAGAAUUGAGGCAAGAAAAUGGUUAAAGUUAAUUAAAUGAUGAUAUCUUUCAAUCAACUGUCCUGAAACAAUUGACACUGAGCAAAGUUGGCAAAGGUUUCUAGUUGACUUGAAGAGACAAUAAUUUACUGAUUGGUCUUCCAGGUUGCCUUUAGCGUUGAUUGUUAGCCCUUUACUUGUACAGUUUACAUUUAUAAUCAUACUUUAAUCGUGUCCAAUUAAGUGUUCAAAUGUUAUUUUAACGUGAAAAGGUUGAUUAUUUUGUUAGUCAAUUUUAUCAUAUGUGAUCAGUGUAAGUACAUUGUAUACAAGUGAUUAACAUUUCAAUCAAAAAGUUAAAUCUUUCAACCUGAAGCAAGUCAUUAGUUAAUCAUUCAAGGUUAAUUGAGGGCGACCUUUAAUCAACUUUACUAAUUGUAAAAAAGAUGAACGGGAAAAGGGUUAAUCGAGGUAUCGAAUUGUUGCAGACUAUUUAUAGUUGUAGGAACUAGUGAUGGGCGAUGUUGUAAAAUUUUGUAAUCGAUAUUUAAUCGAAAUUUUUCAAUCAAAUCGAUAUUAUCGAUUUUAUCGAUUUUAUCGAUAUAUCAAUUUAUCAAUGUUUGAUAAUAAAAAUUCAGCUCAAAGUUAUAAAAUAAGCAAACAUAAACGAGCCACAACAUUAAACUAAAUGAAUUAUGAAGGUAGCGAAUGUAAAAAACAAAUUGAAUUAACAUUUUUUGAUCUAAAGCGAAUUUUUUUCUGAUUUUAUGUCUUCAAUUUUUGUAAAAAGACACUCGCAGGUGACUCAAGUUGGUGGAGUUGUUAGAUACUUGUUCGCAAUAUUGUGUAAUUUCAUGCCGGUUUAGAAUAUCGAUAUUCGAAAUUAUGUAUCGAUUUAGAGUUUCGUCACAAAAAUCGAUUCAAUAUCGAUUUCGAUGUUAAUAUCGCCCAUCACUAGUAGGAACCAAAACAUGAUUUCCAAUCAGCUUUAAACAAAUAAAGCUCUGAUCAUCGCCAGUUUUUUUUCCUUCGCUAUACAAAUCUUACUAAUAACA
This is a non-coding RNA of Tetranychus urticae (two-spotted spider mite), 2122 nucleotides long. Lineage: Eukaryota; Metazoa; Arthropoda; Arachnida; Trombidiformes; Tetranychidae. The record is from RefSeq and is a predicted model, not a curated record.